GUAGAGGAGGUUAGAUCCGGUGCGUUACGUCGGAGAAGUCGAAUCACCGGGCGAUCGUAAAGGUCGUAGGUGUUCUCUCUCUUUCUCACUCUUUCGGAAAUACUCAUUCUUUUUCUUUAUUACUUCCUCACUUCUCAGAUGCUUCUCGGCAAGUCCUUCAAUCGAUUAGAAGAUAACCAGCUGGCUGUUGGUGUCAUUGGUGAGAGAGAGGGAUCGUUCAUUUAGGAUUUUUCAAUGAUAAAUUUUACGAUGAUUAUUAUCUUCGUGGUGUAUAAGAGGCAACAUGAAUGGUUUCAUUCGUAAAUGUUACAAGAGUGGGGAAGAGAGGGAGAGAGAGAGAAAGAUGGACAACCUUCAAGUGGAAAAGUUCUACGCUUAUCAUUCGUUAUCGAAGAUGCAACGCAACGGAAAAUUACAUUAGAUUUAUGGAUGGAUGGAAAUUUCAAGUGAAGGAGGAAGUGCGAUGUCAACGGGUAUUAAUCAUUGACGAUUUCAAUCAAAGAGUAUAUUAUUACGAUGAACUUGAAAUAAAUUUGUGGAACGAGCCCACGUUUUCGAUCGAUUAUAUACAUCACAAGCAAGAUCUCAGAGAUGCUCUAAGCCGACUACAUUGCGAGUCAGAAUCCUUCAAGAUGGAUCUUAUUUUGGACAUCAAUAGCUGGCUCUAUCCUAUGGAAUUAGGUGACAAAUUUCGCUUAGUAUUAGCAACAACUCUUCGAGAGGAUGGUUAUCCAGACGGAGGCGAAUGGAAUGCAACCGAUCAAGAAGGUGGUUCGAGAGCAGACAGUUUUGAGUACGUGAUGUCGGGAAAGGUUUAUCGGAUCGAGGGUGACGAGGCAAGCAACGAGCCUAGCAGUAGAUUAAACACCCACCUCCCACGUUGAUCGGAACGAUAAUCGACGUCGCUUUACAUCGCUGAAUAUCGACAAGAGCCACUCGGAAUGCAGAUCUGCCUACGUAUCUUUCGGUGGAUUAUUAAUGAGGCUGCAAGGUGACGCAAAUAACUUACAUGGUUUCGAGAUUGAUCAACAUAUGUACCUGCUCAUGAAGAAACUUGCAUUUUAAGUUAUCUUUACAAAUAGAUCAAACUUACUGACGAAGAUUUUUAUCUUCUCAUUCUUUGAAAAGAUUUUACAAUUUUUUAUUGACUGAAAUAAAAUAUACGUCAAAGAUUGUUAUUUA
RNA transcript from Vespa crabro (European hornet), 1182 nucleotides. It is a transcript of the gene named DNA-directed RNA polymerases I, II, and III subunit RPABC3, with no coding region annotated. The record is from RefSeq and is a predicted model, not a curated record. The transcript has 6 exons. Lineage: Eukaryota; Metazoa; Arthropoda; Insecta; Hymenoptera; Vespidae.